UUAAAAGGAACAUGUUAUGUUAGGCCACAACAUUCUUGUUUAUUUUUCCAAGGAUGCAAAAACAAAGAAUGCUUAUUUAAGUGGAAGGAAAAACCAAAGGAAGGGAAAAGAAGAGAUUUUUGGUUUGUUCCCACUGAUUCUAUAUCUUUGAACUUCCCAUCUCACAAUCGCCGACUCAAAUGGAGGCGGAGCCCGCGUCUGGGCCCGGGCCUGAGUUUAACUCGAAGGAGGAAGCUUUCGCAUUCUACCAAGCCCACGCGAAAUCUGUGGGUUUCUCCGCCAUAAUCAAAGCCAGCCGCCGAUCCCGAAUCUCCGGCAACUUCAUCGACGCCAAAUUCGCCUGCACUCGCUACGGUGCCCCACCAAGCCACAAGCCCAAACGGGCCCCUUCCCGGGCCAAAACCGAUUGCAAGGCUUCCAUGCACGUGAAACGAACACCCCACGGUACAUGGAUAAUCUCUUCUUUCAUCAAACACCAUAACCACCAAAUUUCCCCCAUUCACAGUAGCCCUAAACCCAAUAAUAAUGUUAACAACAAGGCAAGUCCCUCAAGGAAACUCAAGGUUAAAAAAACACCGCAAUACUUAACUUUCGCCCAAGGUGACCUUCAAUUUUUGCUCAACGCUUUCAUGUCUAUGCAAAAUGAAAACCCUAAUUUCUUUUUCGCGGUCGAUCUUAACGAGGAGCAGCGGUUGAGGAGUGUUUUCUGGGUGGACGCUAAGGCUAGGCUUGAUUAUAGACACUUCAGUGAUGUGGUGCUUUUGGACACCACUCACGUUAAAAACGAGUGUAGAUUGCCCUUUGUUCCGUUUGUUGGUGUGAACCACCAUCUUCAGUUUUUCUUGCUGGGAUUGGCCUUUGUGUCUGAUGGGUCUGAAUCCACAUAUGCGUGGCUGAUGAGGAAUUGGUUGAGGGCAAUGGGAGGAGGUGCUCCAAAGGUGAUGCUCACUGACCGUGAUGAAGUGCUGAAGAGAGCGGUUGCUCAAGUGGUUCCUGAGUCUUGUCAUUGCUUUUGUCUGUGGCAUGUGUUGAGUAAGGUUCCAGAGAAACUCGGUCGCCGGAUUCGUGGGCACGGUGGGGAGUUUAUGAGUGGGUUUAGUGAGUGUGUUUUGAGGUCUAGGACAAAGGAGCAGUUUGAGAAUAGGUGGGAGGAGAUGGUUGAGAGGUUUGACAUGGGUGAUGAGAGUUGGUUGUGUGAGAUUUAUGAGGAUCGGAAACAGUGGGUACCUGCGUUUAUGAAUGGCAGGGUUUUAGGAGGAAUGUCGACUGUGCAGAGAUCAGAAGCCAUGAACUGCCUGUUUGAUAAAUAUGUGCAGAGGAAAACUACUAUGAAAGAGUUUCUGGAGCAGUACAGAGUGGUGUUGAGGGGUAAGUGUGAGGAGGAAGCCAAGGCUGAUUUUGAAACUCUGCGUAGACAGCCAGCGUUGAAGUCCCCAUCACCUUUUGGGAAACAAAUGGUGGAGUUGUACACCAAUGCAGUGUUUAAGAAGUUCCAGGGUGAGGUCUUGGGAGCUGUUGCUUGUCAUCCAAGGAAAGAGAGCGAAGAUGGGGCAAUGAAAAUGUUUAAGGUUCAGGAUUUCGAGGACAAUCAAGAUUUUGUUGUGACGUGGAAUGAAUCGACUUCAGAAGCAUCAUGCUCUUGCUAUUCAUUUGAGUUCAAUGGCUAUCUUUGUAGGCAUGUAAUGAUUGUGCUACAGAUUUCUGGUAUACAUAGCAUCCCACCUCGGUAUAUAUUAAAACGCUGGACAAAAGAUGCCAAGAAAAGAGAUCUGUCUGUGGCAGAUGUCGUUGUCUCUGACUCUAGGGCUGAGCGCUAUAAUAAUUUAUGUCAACGAGCUUUUGAGUUGGGUGAUGAAGGGUCUUUAUCAUACGAGACUUACAUUGCUGCUGUAAAGGCGUUGGAAGAAGCUUUGAGAAAGUGUGAGAACCUGGAUGGUUCAAUUCAGAGAGUCAGAGAACCGAAUCUUCCAUGUUUUGGUUCUCAAGAGGUAAGCCCUGAACCAGAGAUCAUUGCUAUGGGAGUCGAUUCUAGCUGGCAGCAAAUGGAAAACCCCAAUGCACAAGAUCAGAAUCCGGAUGGCUAUUUUUCUACUCAGCGGAUUGAUUUUGGAAUGUGCAACCAAUUGAAUUCAGUAGCUGCUAUUCGUAAUGAUUAUUAUUGCAACCAGCAUGGCAUCCAAGACCGGGGACAGUUGAACUCAAUUGCAUCCAUCCAUGAUCCCUGUUACAUGGCCCCACAAAGGAUGCAACCGAUGGUAUGGACUCUACUAUAUUUUUACUGUUGAGUAAAUAGUAAAUUUUGUCCCUAAAAGCACCAACGAAAUGGAUGUGUAGCAUGUUAAGCUCCAUAUUUGAUGCAUAUAUUGAGCAACGCAGCUUCCAACUUCUGCCUAUACUCCUUUACCCAUUUCACACAUUCUGUUCGAUUUGCUUCUUCCUUCUACUCAAUGAAACGCGAAGCUCUUUGUAAUGGGGACUUCCAAAUUUCAUUACAAAGGAAUCAGUGAAUUAUAAAAGUUAAGAAAAUGGAUUAGAGAGGAUCUUCGAAGUACUCAGCGAGCUCUCCUAGCAUGGCAGUGUGGACACAGUUUUCACAUUUCUUGGGUCAAGCCCACGGAGGGUCAUCCUCACAGCCGCAUGGGAUGGAGGUAAAGGUAAAACAGCUAAAUUCAAGGCACCAGUCUCAGUGAGUUAGGUUAUAGGCUGACAUUGUGUUUCAUACUUGUAUAUCAGCAUGUAAAUGUUUCAGUUAACGUUAUGUAUAUAUUAGAAAGUCAGAAGUCUUUUUGAUGAGCCUUGAUUAAUUCCUGCCCUUUUAGUAGAGAUGUAGGACUUUUGUUUCUUAACUAGUGGAAAUGAAUCAUGCAGUACUAUAGCAUAUCAUUCUGGCACUAUCCCUUCUAUAUAUUGAAGCAGCUGGUUUCAUUUAGUAACAA
RNA transcript from Vigna angularis (adzuki bean), 2936 nucleotides. It is a transcript of the gene named protein FAR1-RELATED SEQUENCE 1, with no coding region annotated. NCBI's taxonomy places the organism in Eukaryota, Viridiplantae, Streptophyta, Magnoliopsida, Fabales, Fabaceae. The record is from RefSeq and is a predicted model, not a curated record. The transcript has 7 exons.